RNAcentral lists this ribosomal RNA (510 nucleotides) under uncultured bacterium. RNAcentral's name for it is "bacterial SSU rRNA". It matches the Rfam family "Bacterial small subunit ribosomal RNA", at positions 28 to 496 of the family's 1533-position model. The record is from RNAcentral.
GACGAACGCUGGCGGCGUGCCUAAUACAUGCAAGUCGAACGCACUCUCGUUUAGAUUGAAGGAGCUUGCUCCUGAUUGAUAAACAUUUGAGUGAGUGGCGGACGGGUAAGUAACACGUGGGUAACCUGCCCUAAAGUGGGGGAUAACAUUUGGAAACAGAUGCUAAUACCGCAUAAAACCUAACACCGCAUGGUGUAGGGUUGAAAGAUGGUUUCGGCUAUCACUUUAGGAUGGACCCGCGGUGCAUUAGUUAGUUGGUGAGGUAAAGGCUCACCAAGACCGUGAUGCAUAGCCGACCAGAGAGGGUAAUCGGCCACACUGGGACUGAGACACGGCCCAGACUCCUACGGGAGGCAGCAGUAGGGAAUCUUCCACAAAUGGACGAAAGUCUGAUGGAGCAACGCCGCGUGAGUGAAGAAGGUUUUCGGAUCGUAAAACUCUGUUGUUGGAGAAGAAUGUAUCUGAUAGUAACUGAUCAGGUAGUGACGGUAUCCAACCAGAAAGCCACGG